UCUAGCAUGUGCGCGAGUCAUUGGGCUUACGAAACCUAAAGGCGAAAUGAAAGUAAAGGUCGAGUUUACUCGUUCUUAGGGGUGAUGGUCGCGCUAACCAUGCCGGCCCGCAACCCCGGGGCGUCACAUUCUCUUUGAGGGGUGGCGGUACCUUGAGCGUACAUGUUGGUACCCGAAAGAUGGUGAACUAUGCCUGGCCAGGGUGAAGUCAGGGGAAACCCUGAUGGAAGCCCGUAGCGAUUCUGACGUGCAAAUCGAUCGUCAGAGCUGGGUAUAGGGGCUGAAAGACUAAUCGAACCAUC
RNAcentral lists this ribosomal RNA (302 nucleotides) under Thrips hawaiiensis. RNAcentral's name for it is "eukaryotic LSU rRNA". It matches the Rfam family "Eukaryotic large subunit ribosomal RNA", at positions 674 to 944 of the family's 3401-position model. The record is from RNAcentral. Lineage: Eukaryota; Metazoa; Arthropoda; Insecta; Thysanoptera; Thripidae.